CAGCCUCGGUCACCCGCAUACACAGCAGGGCCAAGCUGCUGGUUAAAACUCACUGGCUUUUAAAAAAUGAGGAUAUACAGACAUUGGCUGAGGAGAUGAUGUGUGCCUUUGAAUAAAAUCUGCAAAGAAUUGCGUAUCCUGGCACUUGUUGGAUUCAUUUGAACUCUGAGACCAGGGAAACUCCAGGACCUGCUGCGAAGUGUGUCCUGGCCUCAGGAGAACAAAAUGGAAAGGGAAAAGGGAGGUCAGAGACCAUCAAACGAAGGAGCUGCCAUGGCAUCAGCCUCAUCAUCAGGAACUGAAGAAGGGCAAGAGGCAGAUGCCCAUCCUCCCUGCCUGGAGUCUCCAACAGAACAUGUGCCCAUGACUGGUAGGCUCUACUCCUGCAUCUCCCGAACCCGUGAGGACCGUGGCAGGCCUAGAAACGCAGAAGUUCCCACCCACAAAGCCCAGAUCCGGAAAGGGAAUUUCCAGCUCAAGUUACAAGUGGCAAACCUAGUGGAAAAGAUUCACUUGUUGGGUCUGGAAGGAACAGAGAACGUGUGUGUGAGACGAGAGGAGGCACUCACCUGGCAGGACGGCAGAGAAAGCCCUGGUGUGACAUCCGACCCAUCCUGCGCUCCCCAACCUGGCCCUGCAGGUCCCAUGGAGGAGGCUGCCCGGGAGUGCAAGGAAGAAAUUCAGAGCCGUUUGGAGGAUCUCAAGAAACAAAGGGAAGAGCUUCUGGGAUUGAAACGGGCAGGAAGGAGAAGGAGUCUGGAGUAUCUG
Alligator sinensis (Chinese alligator) is the source of this 768-nucleotide long non-coding RNA. RefSeq lists it as uncharacterized. The transcript is spliced from 3 exons. NCBI's taxonomy places the organism in Eukaryota, Metazoa, Chordata, Crocodylia, Alligatoridae. The record is from RefSeq and is a predicted model, not a curated record.